GAGAGAGAGAGAGAGAGAGAGUGCAUGGGUUCGUGGUCUCUUCCGAGGACAGCCCCAGCUGUGGGGUCGCGGCCUGCCGCUAUGUCUUGUCUUUUACUCCGUCUUCUUCCCCACAGCCACACACACACACAUCCUCGCUUAAAUUUUCUUGUUGUUUCCUUCUUUAUUGCAACCGCACACCCACUGCUCUCUCUCUCUCUGUGUGACUCGUUUGCACGCAUCUCCUUAUACGGAGUGAGGGUAAUCAUUCCUUCAUCAUCGCCUCCUAUGCUGCUCAAACAUCUCUUGCAGCAGCCGGAAGGAAGCCGGAAGUCAUGGGGGAGGGAGGGGGGAGAGGAGGAUAAAGCCAAAGGCAGCUGAGAGGACCAUCAAGAAAGGGAAGCUUUUUCCUUGAGGGGAAUGUUGUCUGGCUCGAGGCCAUCUUCUCCUUCACUGUUGUUGCGUGUGGAGAGAUCUCGGACCAGGCUUCAUUCCCCUCAAUCACAGCUUCCAUCUCUACCAGUAGUGACCCAGCUUCUCUUAUAUUGAUCUCAUCUCCUGUUUUGGCAGAUUGGAGCAAUCAUGGUGGGGAGGGGUUAUGACUACCUACCUUCUUUUCAUGAUCUAUCCUUUCUGCUCAUGCUGACAUGCAGGGUAAGAGGCUUUCAUCAUUACCUUCCAAGAAGGGUUUCUUCUUUUGUCUCUCUUUCUUUUUCCUUGCAGACCUGCAGGCAGAGUUACCCGGAUGUCUUCCCAGGUUAACCAGCUCUGCAUCUCUCAGUUCUUGACAUGGUUCAGCUUUCUUUGCUUGUGUGCUGACAGUACUAUUUCUUCUUGGCUUUCUUUUUCCUUGCAAAUCUGCACGGUGGGGAGGUUCCCUGCAAGGUUUUCCAGGUUGACCGAGUUUGGAUCUCUGAUGUCUUUCUGGUUUCUUUGUUCUCUCUCUUCCCAUGUUUGCAAUCCCUCUUAGGGGUUUCCUUUCUUUGUUUGCCGAGCAUGGUCGUGUGUUGCCAUACACUUCAUUACGUCAAAUGUCUGAGGCAAUUAACGAGGCCUUUUCCAGUCGGCGUUAUGAUACUGAUCAGAGAUUACGGGUAUACAUACAUAUAUAUAUAUAUAUAUAUAUGUACCUUUGAUCUUUA
Musa acuminata AAA Group (dessert banana) is the source of this 1121-nucleotide long non-coding RNA. RefSeq lists it as uncharacterized. The record is from RefSeq and is a predicted model, not a curated record. The transcript is spliced from 2 exons. Lineage: Eukaryota; Viridiplantae; Streptophyta; Magnoliopsida; Zingiberales; Musaceae.